Molecule: ribosomal RNA, 470 nt
Filed under: uncultured bacterium
Lineage: Bacteria
Description: bacterial SSU rRNA
Rfam family: Bacterial small subunit ribosomal RNA
Source: RNAcentral
ACUCCUACGGGAGGCAGCAGUGGGGAAUAUUGCACAAUGGGGAAACCCUGAUGCAGCCAUGCCGCGUGUGUGAAGAAGGCCUUCGGUUGUAAAGCACUUUCAGUAGGGAGGAAGGUAGUGCAGUUAACACCUGCAUUAUUUGACGUUACCUACAGAAGAAGCACCGGCUAACUCCGUGCCAGCAGCCGCGGUAAUACGGAGGGUGCGAGCGUUAAUCGGAAUUACUGGGCGUAAAGCGCAUGCAGGCGGCCUGUUAAGUCAGAUGUGAAAGCCCGGGGGCUUAACCUCGGAAUUGCAUUUGAAACUGGCAGGCUAGAGUCUUGUAGAGGGGGUAGAAUUUCAGGUGUAGCGGUGAAAUGCGUAGAGAUCUGAAGGAAUACCAGUGGCGAAGGCGGCCCCUGGACAAAGACUGACGCUCAGAUGCGAAAGCGUGGGGAGCAAACAGGAUUAGAUACCCUGGUAGGAUAGCG